CCUGAAGCAGCGACGCCGCGUGGGGGAUGAAGGCCUUCGGGUUGUAAACCUCUUUCAGCAGGGAAGAAGCGCAAGUGACGGUACCUGCAGAAGAAGCACCGGCUAACUACGUGCCAGCAGCCGCGGUAAUACGUAGGGUGCAAGCGUUGUCCGGAAUUAUUGGGCGUAAAGAGCUCGUAGGCGGUCUGUCGCGUCUGCUGUGAAAACUCGGGGCUUAACCCCGGGCCUGCAGUGGGUACGGGCAGACUAGAGUGCGGUAGGGGAGACUGGAAUUCCUGGUGUAGCGGUGAAAUGCGCAGAUAUCAGGAGGAACACCGGUGGCGAAGGCGGGUCUCUGGGCCGUAACUGACGCUGAGGAGCGAAAGCAUGGGUAGCGAACAGGAUUAGAUACCCUGGUAGUCCAUGCCGUAAACGUUGGGCGCUAGGUGUGGGGCUCAUUCCACGAGUUCCGUGCCGCAGCAAACGCAUUAAGCGCCCCGCCUGGGGAGUACGGCCGCAAGGCUA
This 504-nucleotide ribosomal RNA is filed under the name uncultured Actinomycetes bacterium. Its description in RNAcentral is "bacterial SSU rRNA". It matches the Rfam family "Bacterial small subunit ribosomal RNA", at positions 382 to 896 of the family's 1533-position model. Lineage: Bacteria; Bacillati; Actinomycetota; Actinomycetes. The record is from RNAcentral.